RNAcentral lists this ribosomal RNA (375 nucleotides) under uncultured organism. RNAcentral's name for it is "partial 16S ribosomal RNA". It matches the Rfam family "Bacterial small subunit ribosomal RNA", at positions 527 to 896 of the family's 1533-position model. The record is from RNAcentral.
GUAGGGGCCAAGCGUUGUCCGGAUUUAUUGGGCGUAAAGGGCUCGUAGGCGGUUCAGCAAGUCAAUCGUGAAAGCUCGGGGCUCAACCCCGAGACUGCGGUCGAAACUGCUGUGACUAGGGUCCGGUAGAGGUGAGUGGAAUUCUCGGUGUAGCGGUGAAAUGCGCAGAUAUCGAGAGGAACACCGGUAGCGAAGGCGGCUCACUGGGCCGGUACCGACGCUGAUGAGCGAAAGCGUGGGGAGCAAACAGGAUUAGAUACCCUGGUAGUCCACGCCGUAAACGUUGAACACUAGGUGUGGCGGACUUAUCCACGUCUGCUGUGCCGCAGCUAACGCAUUAAGUGUUCCCGCCUGGGGAGUACGGCCGCAAGGCUA